CAUGCCGGAGGUGGGAAAUUGUGUUGCACCCACGCACCUUGCGUACAUGACGUAACGGUUAAAAGAGAUGGAGCAGAUUGCAACGGCUCCCCGGCAUA
Molecule: non-coding RNA, 98 nt
Filed under: unclassified sequences
Description: skipping-rope RNA
Rfam family: skipping-rope RNA
About the family: Firmicutes, Fusobacteria, AlphaProteobacteria, Spirochaetes.
Source: Rfam by way of RNAcentral